AAUUUAUCCAAAUUCAUAGAUGUACACCACCAAGAUUGAACUCUAAGGUAAACUAUGGACUUUGAGUGAUAAUGACAUGUCAAUGUAGGUUCAUCAAUUGUAACAAAUGUGUGGCUCCUGUGGGAGACGUUGAUAGUGGGGAACUAAAAUGUGUGGGGGCAGGGAAUAUAAUGGGAAUUCCUAUACAAUCUGUUCGGUUUUUCUGAGAACCUAAAACUGCUCUAAAAAUAAUAAAGCAGAAAGCAGAAGAUUAUUAUAAAGACAAAGAAGAAAGGCCCCAAAUCAGCAACAUAAUUUUUCACAUUAAGAAAGUAGAAAUAGGGGCUGGGGUUGUGGCUCAGUGGUAGAGUGCUCCAGUAGCACACAUGAGGCACUGGUUUUGAUCCUCAGCACCACAUAAAUGUAAAAUAAAGAUUUGGUGUCCACCUAAAACUAAAAAAUAAAUAAAUAAAAAGAAACUAGAAAUAAGCUGGGUGCAGUAGCACAUGCCUUUAAUGCCAGCAAUUCUGGAGGCUGCGGCAGGGAGCAUUCCAAGUUUAAGGCCAGUCUCAGCAGCUUAGGGAGACCUUCAGCAACUUCAAAAAACUCUGUCUCAAAUUAAAAAAUAAAAAGGGAGAGCUUGUUAAAGUGCCCCUGGUUUCAAUCCCCAGUACCAAAACAAAACAAAAAACUAGAAACAUAACUCCUGUGCAGUAGUGUGAGUCUAAAUAAUGACAAUGUUCUGGAUAUUUUUUAAAAAUCUAGAAUGAAGGAUUUUGAAUAUUUU
RNAcentral lists this long non-coding RNA (766 nucleotides) under Marmota monax (woodchuck). The record is from RNAcentral. Lineage: Eukaryota; Metazoa; Chordata; Mammalia; Rodentia; Sciuridae.